GCACUGCUGAAGAGUCGCACCAUAAGACGAAACGACCGUCUAGUGC
Molecule: non-coding RNA, 46 nt
Filed under: Schistosoma margrebowiei
Lineage: Eukaryota; Metazoa; Platyhelminthes; Trematoda; Strigeidida; Schistosomatidae
Source: RNAcentral